RNAcentral lists this ribosomal RNA (735 nucleotides) under Triticum aestivum (bread wheat). RNAcentral describes it as "partial small subunit ribosomal RNA". The record is from RNAcentral. Lineage: Eukaryota; Viridiplantae; Streptophyta; Magnoliopsida; Poales; Poaceae.
AUGGGCUACUCUUCGGCUGAGUGCCUGGCCAUUGCCAAUCGACUUAACUGCCGCCUGGGCUCCUUCCCCACGACCUACUUGGGAACGCCCAUUAGUGACUCCCGGCUCACCGUCACGGACUUGCACCCUACCGUGGCCAAGCUACAAACGUGCAUUGAGCCAUGGCAGGGUAGAUGGUUGUCAAAGGCGGCCCGGACGAUUCUCAUCAACUCCUCCCUGUCCAGCCUCCUCUUGUUCCUCAUGAGCUUCUACAGCCUUCACGAGACUCUGCACCAUGCGAUCGCCAAAGUCCAGUCUCGUUUCUAUUGGGCAUGCGACAACAAUAAGCAGAAAUACCAUAUGGUCAGCUGGCCUGACAUUUGCAAGCCCCGGGAACAAGGAGGCCUCGGUAUCAUGUGCUCUAAGCGCAUGAAUAUUGCCCUCCUAUCCCGAUGGCUUUGGCGCAUCUCACAAGGUCACGGUGGCCUCUGGCUCAACAUCAUCCGGAACAAGUACCUGCAUGGACAACCCCUAGCCUUUUGUCAGUGAUCUGGUGGCUCCCAGUUCUGGCAGUCGUUCGUCCAACUUCUCCCUGUCCUCCGCAUCGGGACCUCCAUCUCGAUGGGGUCUGGGGCGGCGACUUUGUUCUGGUUUGACCGGUGGGCUGGAGACACCCCCUUUGUUGCGCGCUUCCCCGACCUCUUCUCCAUCGCUGUUAACCCUCGAUCUCAGUUGAGAGGGCCCUUAUUGACUUAG